RNAcentral lists this transfer RNA (62 nucleotides) under Gryllus veletis. Its description in RNAcentral is "tRNA-Cys". The record is from RNAcentral. Lineage: Eukaryota; Metazoa; Arthropoda; Insecta; Orthoptera; Gryllidae.
GGUCUUAUAUUCAAUGAUGAUUUUAGACUGCAAUUCUAAAGGUGUAAUGUUUACUAAGGCCU